This is a transfer RNA of Zostera marina, 74 nucleotides long. It matches the Rfam family "tRNA". Rfam says of the family: Transfer RNA (tRNA) molecules are approximately 80 nucleotides in length. The record is from Rfam. NCBI's taxonomy places the organism in Eukaryota, Viridiplantae, Streptophyta, Magnoliopsida, Alismatales, Zosteraceae.
GCUGGAAUAGCUCAGUUGGUUAGAGCGUGUGGCUGUUAACCACAAGGUCGAAGUUUCGACCCCUUCUUCUAGUG